UCCUCAUGAAUUCCUUGAUGCCUUCGUCC
Molecule: non-coding RNA, 29 nt
Filed under: Rattus norvegicus (Norway rat)
Lineage: Eukaryota; Metazoa; Chordata; Mammalia; Rodentia; Muridae
Source: RNAcentral